RNAcentral lists this ribosomal RNA (253 nucleotides) under uncultured bacterium. RNAcentral's name for it is "partial 16S ribosomal RNA". It matches the Rfam family "Bacterial small subunit ribosomal RNA", at positions 524 to 776 of the family's 1533-position model. The record is from RNAcentral.
UACGAAGGGUGCAAGCGUUGUUCGGAAUUACUGGGCGUAAAGCGCUCGUAGGCGGAUUCGUAAGUCAAUUGUGAAAGCCCUGGGCUCAACCCGGGAAUUGCAGUUGAAACUGCGAACCUUGAAUACUUGAGAGGGUGACUAAAUUCCUGGUGUAGAAGUGAAAUUCGUAGAUAUCAGGAGGAAAACCAGAGGCGAAAGCGGUUGCCUGGCAAUGUAUUGACGCUGAGGAGCGAAAGCGUGGGGAGCAAACAGG